UCCGUGAGUCACGGAUGUCGAGUCCCCGGAAAAGAACGCUGUUUAGGCGCGGCCUAACCACCUAAGUGAGGGCACUGAAGCUGCCUGGGAAGGGCAAGGCCCGCAUCGCAGAGCUGGGCUCGGGGGCACUGGAUUUGUUUGGGUUAGCAGAGACUAUAAAAAAGCAAAAACUGGUGAGGAUAGAGACCAAUGCUGGCAGGAAUACAGGGAAAGGAAAAAUCUCAAGCUCAGUUGCUGAAGAAAUAAGGAAAGGGAGGCCUAAAGGUUAGAGACUUGCCCUAAGUCUGUUAGCUCAAAAAUAGAAGAGCUGGGAUUCAAAUC
Long non-coding RNA from Odocoileus virginianus texanus, 321 nucleotides. RefSeq lists it as uncharacterized. The record is from RefSeq and is a predicted model, not a curated record. NCBI's taxonomy places the organism in Eukaryota, Metazoa, Chordata, Mammalia, Artiodactyla, Cervidae.